Molecule: ribosomal RNA, 579 nt
Filed under: uncultured bacterium
Lineage: Bacteria
Description: bacterial SSU rRNA
Rfam family: Bacterial small subunit ribosomal RNA
Source: RNAcentral
CCUACGGGAGGCAGCAGUAGGGAAUAUUGGGCAAUGGUCGCAAGACUGACCCAGCCAUGCCGCGUGCGGGAAGACGGCCCUCUGGGUUGUAAACUGCUUUUAUCUGGGAAGAAAAAGUCCAUGCGUGGAAAAUUGCCGGUACCAGAUGAAUAAGCACCGGCUAACUCCGUGCCAGCAGCCGCGGUAAUACGGAGGGUGCAAGCGUUGUCCGGAUUUAUUGGGUUUAAAGGGUGCGUAGGCGGCUGAAUAAGUCAGCGGUGAAAGACUUCGGCUUAACCGGAGCAGUGCCGUUGAUACUGUUUAGCUUGAGUGUUGGAGGGGUACAUGGAAUUGAUGGUGUAGCGGUGAAAUGCAUAGAUACCAUCAGGAACACCGAUAGCGAAGGCAUUGUACUGGCCAGCAACUGACGCUGAGGCACGAAAGUGUGGGGAUCGAACAGGAUUAGAUACCCUGGUAGUCCACACUGUAAACGGUGAUUACUCGCUGUUAUGGUGUAUGCUGUAGCGGCCAAGCGAAAGCGUUAAGUAAUCCACCUGGGGAAGUACGCCGGCAACGGUGAAACUUCAAAGGAAUUGACGG